RNAcentral lists this ribosomal RNA (299 nucleotides) under uncultured bacterium. RNAcentral's name for it is "partial 16S ribosomal RNA". It matches the Rfam family "Bacterial small subunit ribosomal RNA", at positions 28 to 320 of the family's 1533-position model. The record is from RNAcentral.
GACGAACGCUGGCGGCGCGCUUAACACAUGCAAGUCGAGCGAGAACCAGCCCUUCGGGGCUGGGGAAAGCGGCGAACGGGUGAGUAACACGUGGGUAAUCUGCCCUCGGCACCGGAAUAGCCCGGGGAAACCCGGAUUAAUGCCGGAUGGCCUCUCGAGCUCUCGAGCUCGUGAGAAAAGGUAGCUUCGGCCUCCGGCCGAGGAUGAGCCCGCGGUCGAUUAGCUUGUUGGUGAGGUAAUGGCUCACCAAGGCGACGAUCGAUAGCUGGUCUGAGAGGACGAUCAGCCACACUGGGACU